RNAcentral lists this ribosomal RNA (801 nucleotides) under uncultured bacterium. RNAcentral describes it as "bacterial SSU rRNA". It matches the Rfam family "Bacterial small subunit ribosomal RNA", at positions 8 to 796 of the family's 1533-position model. The record is from RNAcentral.
AGAGUUUGAUCAUGGCUCAGAUUGAACGCUGGCGGCGUGCCUAACACAUGCAAGUCGAGCGGUAACAGGUGUAGCAAUACAUGCUGACGAGCGGCGGACGGGUGAGCAAUAUUUGGGAAUCUGCCUAUUAGUGGGGGGACAACCCGGGGAAACUCGGGCUAAUACCGCAUACGCACUACGGUGGAAAGCCGGGGGACCGCAAGGCCUGGCGCUAAUAGAUGAGCCCAAAUCGGAUUAGCUAGUUGGUGAGGUAACGGCUCACCAAGGCGACGAUCCGUAGCUGGUCUGAGAGGACGACCAGCCACACCGGGAACUGAGACACGGUCCGGACUCCUACGGGAGGCAGCAGUGGGGGAAUAUUGGGACAAUGGGGCGAAAGCCUGAUCCAGCGACGCCGCGUGGGUGAAGAAGGCCUGCGGGUUGUAAAGCCCUUUCGGUGGGGAUAAAAAGCCUUGGUUUAACACACCAGGGUCUUGAUCUAACCCAAGAAAGAAGCACCGGCUAACUCUGUGCCAGCAGCCGCGGUAAUACAGAGGGUGCGAGCGUUAAUCGGAAUUACUGGGCGUAAAGCGCACGUAGGUGGCUUGGCAAGUCGAGUGUGAAAUCCCCGGGCUUAACCUGGGAACUGCAUUCGAGACUGCUUUGCUAGAGUAUGGGAGAGGGAAGUGGAAUUUCCGGUGUAGCGGUGAAAUGCGUAGAUAUCGGAAGGAACAUCAGUGGCGAAGGCGACUUCCUGGACCAAUACUGACACUCAAGUGCGAAAGCGUGGGGAGCAAACAGGAUUAGAUACCCUAGUAGUCC